AGGACGAACGCUGGCGGCGUGCUUAACACAUGCAAGUCGAGCGGAAAGGCCCUUCGGGGUACUCGAGCGGCGAACGGGUGAGUAACACGUGAGCAACCUGCCCUUAGCUUCGGGAUAGCUCCGGGAAACCGGAAUUAAUACCGGAUAUGACUAUGGCCGACAUCAGCCAUGGUGGAAAGUUUUUCGGCUAGGGAUGGACUCGCGGCCUAUCAGCUAGUUGGUGAGGUAACGGCUCACCAAGGCGACGACGGGUAGCCGGCCUGAGAGGGCGACCGGCCACACUGGGACUGAGACACGGCCCAGACUCCUACGGGAGGCAGCAGUGGGGAAUAUUGCGCAAUGGGCGAAAGCCUGACGCAGCGACGCCGCGUGGGGAUGAAUGCUUUCGGGUUGUAAACCCCUUUCAGCAGGGACGAAGCGAAAGUGACGGUACCUGCAGAAGAAGCGCCGGCUAACUACGUGCCAGCAGCCGC
Molecule: ribosomal RNA, 473 nt
Filed under: uncultured bacterium
Lineage: Bacteria
Description: SSU rRNA
Rfam family: Bacterial small subunit ribosomal RNA
Source: RNAcentral